CGAGAAAGCCCGCAAGGGUGAGUACAGCGGCGCACGGGUGAGUAACACGUGGGUAAUCUGCCCUAGAGUCCGGAAUAACUCGCCGAAAGGCGUGCUAAUGCCGGAUGAGACCACGGGAGCUUCGGCUUCCGCGAGAAAAGGUGGCCUCUGUAUACAAGCUAUCGCUCUAGGAUGAGCCCGCGGCCCAUCAGCUCGUUGGCGGGGUAAUGGCCCACCAAGGCUACGACGGGUAGCUGGUCUGAGAGGACGAUCAGCCACACUGGAACUGAGACACGGUCCAGACUCCUACGGGAGGCAGCAGUGGGGAAUCUUGCGCAAUGGGCGAAAGCCUGACGCAGCAACGCCGCGUGUGUGAUGAAGGUCUUCGGAUCGUAAAGCACUGUCGCGAGGGACG
This 394-nucleotide ribosomal RNA is filed under the name uncultured Anaeromyxobacter sp. RNAcentral describes it as "bacterial SSU rRNA". It matches the Rfam family "Bacterial small subunit ribosomal RNA", at positions 67 to 447 of the family's 1533-position model. Lineage: Bacteria; Pseudomonadati; Myxococcota; Myxococcia; Myxococcales; Anaeromyxobacteraceae. The record is from RNAcentral.